Long non-coding RNA from Homo sapiens (human), 964 nucleotides. Ensembl annotates it as long intergenic non-protein coding RNA 1905. NCBI's taxonomy places the organism in Eukaryota, Metazoa, Chordata, Mammalia, Primates, Hominidae. The record is from Ensembl.
GGGCACUGUCACAGGCAAUGUGCUGGUAGGCACUGCAGGAGCUCCAGGGAAGAAUGGAAACUCUAUGGGAAAUAUGGGAAAAGCAAUCCUGGACAGCUUCAAGGAGCAAGGCAAACUUGAGCUCAGCCUUCAAGCAUGGGUAGAAUUUGGACUCAAGGAAGGACACAGGGAAUAUUAAAAGCAAAGAAGCUCUUUAUGACUACCAAUGAAGACAUUAACCUGACCAGAGAGGAGGAUACAGAGCUGAGAGAUGGAUCGGCCUUCCCCGUGGAGCACUCUGAGACAUGUCAUAGCUCAUUGACAUCUCGCAAUACAGGUCAAAAAGGUACAUCCCAGCCUUCUUGCACAUAGAAACACUACACAGCACUUCAGCUGUAUGUUUGGGGGCCAUUUUAAACAGCAAAAUCAUCAACAGGAAGCAGAAAAUUGUAAAAAUUGUGGCACUAAAUAGACCAUGUAAAGGACACAUGUUUGCAAUAAGAAAGCUGAAACAAGAAGGGGGAGUGUCACCUUAUUUGAUCCAGCUAGAAACUCAGGUGCUGGUAUUCCAGCAACACUCAGGCGGCUGCUCCAGGAGGCUGCAGAGGGGUCCUUUUUAGCCGUCAACAAAACUGGCUAUGGUCACGCCCAUUGGGAAACUCAUUGCUGCCUUCAAGUUAGGUUCUGUCAAUAGAAGAUACUAAAGAAAGAAAGCCAGGAGAAGAAAAGGGACUUCUUUCUUCAAGGUCUAAGCUGUUCUAAUAGCAUUAUUCUGGGAAUGGCAUCUUCCACUCCUCCUAGUACAAAGAACCUGCUUCCUCAUACCCCGUCAAGGAACUGCAGCAUCCAGGUACUUUCUCUGCCUCAAAGGUCUGCAUCCCAUUCUCCAUUUGGCCCCUCCUUUGAACUACCAGAUCUCCGGCUGGAUUGCCUUUUUGUUCUGGAAUUUUCUAAAUUUCUUUAUUAAAUUUCCCAGUUGAAAUUC